Molecule: long non-coding RNA, 625 nt
Organism: Venturia canescens
Lineage: Eukaryota; Metazoa; Arthropoda; Insecta; Hymenoptera; Ichneumonidae
Exons: 3
Source: RefSeq, a predicted model, not a curated record
UACUGCGAUUGAACGGACGUAAAGACAAAGCGGGCUUAUACCAAAGAUAAAUGUCACGGGAUUACGUCACACGUUUUGUAAUCGCUCACGCACGAACGCGUGUGUUGGAAAACCGAAGAAAUCGGUUCACCACUCAACUAUUGUUUCAACAAGCGGGAGGACGGGACCAGAAAGAGAGCUGUUGGUUUAAAAUUUCGUGAUACGUCUGCAGAUAAUGAAGGCGUAUCGGUUGUCCGAGACUAAGAACAACUUUCGCCAAGGGGACGGAGCGAUUAUUGUGGAAGGUCGGAAACAAACGCGAUACGUGCUCACAUUUCUCAUUCCGUUUCACCGUAACCCCGAACAAUUUUCGAGCCCCGUCGAGGAUCGAAGAAAAAGUGAAACUUUUAGGAAUCACGUUUGGCCCACGAAAAAACGAAAAUAAUUAUAAUAAUAAAAACACUCGACAAAUGCUUAUGAACGCUUUUGACGUAGUUCAGACACGAAACGAUUUUUUAAGUGUUGAAAUUUACAGAGUUUCAUUGGAUAAUUCGUCUUAUUGGUUAUUAGAUAAACUUGUUUAAGGAGGGUGGAUCACGAAAUCAAGGUAAUCAGAAUUUGAUCACAUUUGGUGAUAACAUUCUUU